RNAcentral lists this ribosomal RNA (522 nucleotides) under uncultured Glomus. RNAcentral describes it as "SSU rRNA". It matches the Rfam family "Eukaryotic small subunit ribosomal RNA", at positions 569 to 1092 of the family's 1831-position model. Lineage: Eukaryota; Fungi; Glomeromycota; Glomeromycetes; Glomerales; Glomeraceae. The record is from RNAcentral.
AGCAGCCGCGGUAAUUCCAGCUCCAAUAGCGUAUAUUAAAGUUGUUGCAGUUAAAAAGCUCGUAGUUGAAUUUCGGGGUUAGUAGGUCGGUCAUGCCUCCGGUAUGCACUGGUCUCACUGAUUCCUCCUUCCUGAUGAGCCGUAAUGCCAUUAAUUUGGUGUUGCGGGGAAUCUGGACUGUUACUUUGAAAAAAUUAGAGUGUUUAAAGCAGGCUAACGCUUGAAUACAUUAGCAUGGAAUAAUGGAAUAGGACGUUCGAUCCUAUUUUGUUGGUUUCUAGGAUUGACGUAAUGAUUAAUAGGGAUAGUUGGGGGCAUUAGUAUUCAAUUGUCAGAGGUGAAAUUCUUGGAUUUAUUGAAGACUAACUACUGCGAAAGCAUUUGCCAAGGAUGUUUUCAUUAAUCAAGAACGAAAGUUAGGGGAUCGAAGACGAUCAGAUACCGUCGUAGUCUUAACCAUAAACUAUGCCGACUAGGGAUCGGAUGAUGUUAAUUUUUUAAUGACUCAUUCGGCGCCUUACG